This is a long non-coding RNA of Fukomys damarensis (Damara mole-rat), 299 nucleotides long. RefSeq lists it as uncharacterized. Lineage: Eukaryota; Metazoa; Chordata; Mammalia; Rodentia; Bathyergidae. The transcript has 3 exons. The record is from RefSeq and is a predicted model, not a curated record.
CGGGCGCUGCGGCGGGGAAGCCGGGUGACCAGCCCUGCGGGCGGCACCCCCGAGUCUCUCCAGGAAUGCUCCCCAUACGGCCCUCCGGCUCCUGCACCUCUAGAUUCUACCCUGCAGACACUUAUACGUGUCCCAUGCAGUGACAAGACGGAACCCUCAUGCAGGUUGGCGGCAGAUGACAGCAAGGCAGCACUCGAAGGCACAGUGUUCAAUAAGCCAGAGGCUGCGGUGGGGUUCAAGGACAGAGGAAAUCCCGGGAAGCAGGGGCACACCACAGCCCCCACUCCGUGUGCUCCCGC